GUGAAUCAUCGAAUCUUUGAACGCACAUUGCGCCCUUUGGUAUUCCGAAGGGCAUGCCUGUUUGAGUGUCAUAUAGAAUUCAUCUAAUUGGGUUUCCGAUCAAGAUGCUUUGGACGUCUGCCAUCUUCUCUGGCUCGUCUUAAAUGCCUAAGUGGAAUUGCGUAAUAAGUUGUCGCUCCCUCCCACUCUAAUGAAACUCUUUAAGUUGUGAUCUCAAAUCAGGUAGGACUACCCGCUGAACUUAAGCAUAUCAAUAAGCGGAGGA
RNAcentral lists this unclassified non-coding RNA (265 nucleotides) under Hannaella sp. RNAcentral's name for it is "partial contains 5.8S ribosomal RNA, internal transcribed spacer 2, and large subunit ribosomal RNA". The stretch from base 1 to 71 matches the Rfam family "5.8S ribosomal RNA", at positions 84 to 154 of the family's 154-position model. Lineage: Eukaryota; Fungi; Basidiomycota; Tremellomycetes; Tremellales; Bulleribasidiaceae. The record is from RNAcentral.